RNAcentral lists this ribosomal RNA (433 nucleotides) under uncultured bacterium. RNAcentral describes it as "partial 16S ribosomal RNA". It matches the Rfam family "Bacterial small subunit ribosomal RNA", at positions 29 to 507 of the family's 1533-position model. The record is from RNAcentral.
AACGAACGCUGGCGGCAUGCCUAACACAUGCAAGUCGAACGAGACCUUCGGGUCUAGUGGCGCACGGGUGCGUAACGCGUGGGAACCUGCCCUUAGGUUCGGAAUAACUCCCCGAAAGGGGUGCUAAUACCGGAUAAUGUCUUCGGACCAAAGAUUUAUCGCCUUUGGAUGGGCCCGCGUUGGAUUAGCUGGUUGGUAGGGUAAAAGCCUAUCAAGGCGACGAUCCAUAGCUGGUCUGAGAGGAUGAUCAGCCACACUGGGACUGAGACACGGCCCAGACUCCUACGGGAGGCAGCAGUGGGGAAUAUUGGACAAUGGGCGAAAGCCUGAUCCAGCAAUGCCGCGUGAGUGAUGAAGGCCGUAGGGUUGUAAAGCUCUUUUACCCGGGAUGAUAAUGACAGUACCGGGAGAAUAAGCUCCGGCUAACUCCGUG